Molecule: long non-coding RNA, 916 nt
Filed under: Coturnix japonica (Japanese quail)
Lineage: Eukaryota; Metazoa; Chordata; Aves; Galliformes; Phasianidae
Description: lncRNA (ENSCJPG00005008111.1)
Source: RNAcentral
CUAAAGGAGAAUGCAUUAAUUACUUUUCUUUUUUUCCUUUAUGUGAAUCUAAAUUUGAAGAGGAAAAGAAUGUAUUUCAUCAAUAUAACUACUGAAAGUACAAGAAUUCACAUGGUAGAGUGAGUUAGAGUUCAGUAGCAAACUUGUAUCAAAAUAUUUUUCAGGGCCUGUGCAAAACACUGGAAGAAUGCCUGGAAGGGAAGAAAGCUAAAGCUGUGCCCUUUAUUUGGUGGUUGAAGGUACUCUUCAGGCUACGAGUACUGUGCUUCAGCCAAAACAGAGACAAAGCGACUCAGGCCUGGACUAGACAUGAAUCAGAGCGAUCAGAAGACCCAGUAUUUCACUCCAGAAGUUCUCAACAGCUCUCUAUUCCUCAACCUCAACAAAAGUGCAGUGCAUGAGCAUCCCAAUAAUACGAGCAAGUUGUUUGGACAGAGGACCCAUUUAUCAAAUAGCAAACAAGCAGCAAGUCCAAAUGCUAACUGUGGACACUUGCAUUAGAAAUGAGGCCACUUGUACAUACCAGUAAGUCAAAAAGAUCAUUGACAUGCCAGAGAAGAAGACAUUACUAGAGAUCUGAAAUUCACAUUUCUUAAUAUGUAAUGCUCCAAAUAUAUUAGAUAUAGAUUUGUAAGUGUCCUCAACCCUGUUACAUUACUAUAAUGUUGUGGGGUUUUUUUAGACUUGGAAAUUAAUCUUGUCCGUAUUCUAGCAUUUGCAUAUAAAUUUGUUUUGUUAGAAGGAAUCUGAGCAAAACCAAGUGUUUGAUUGUGAAGUAGAAUAUUCUUGUUACACAAGGAUUUAUUUUUAAUUCUAUGGCUACUGUAUGUAAUCUGUUCCGUGUGCUUGCUUACGUUGCUAUGUUAAAAUAUCCAUCAGUGAAAUGCAGUAGUUGAUAUAAAAGCCAAAUCCCCUG